UGGGGAAUUUUGGACAAUGGGCGCAAGCCUGAUCCAGCAAUGCCGCGUGCAGGAUGAAGGCCUUCGGGUUGUAAACUGCUUUUGUAUGGAACGAAACGGCGAGCUCUAAUACAGUUUGCUAAUGACGGUACCGUAAGAAUAAGCACCGGCUAACUACGUGCCAGCAGCCGCGGUAAUACGUAGGGUGCAAGCGUUAAUCGGAAUUACUGGGCGUAAAGCGUGCGCAGGCGGUUAUGUAAGACAGAUGUGAAAUCCCCGGGCUUAACCUGGGAACUGCAUUUGUGACUGCAUAGCUAGAGUACGGUAGAGGGGGAUGGAAUUCCGCGUGUAGCAGUGAAAUGCGUAGAUAUGCGGAGGAACACCGAUGGCGAAGGCAAUCCCCUGGACCUGUACUGACGCUCAUGCACGAAAGCGUGGGGAGCAAACA
RNAcentral lists this ribosomal RNA (427 nucleotides) under uncultured bacterium. RNAcentral describes it as "partial 16S ribosomal RNA". It matches the Rfam family "Bacterial small subunit ribosomal RNA", at positions 355 to 774 of the family's 1533-position model. The record is from RNAcentral.